GGUUGUGACCAAUAAGGAAAGAUUUAUCGCUUAGGAUGGGUCCGCGGGCCAUCAGCUAGUUGGUGAGGUAAAGGCUCACCAAGGCAACGACGGCUAGCCGGCCUGAGAGGGUGAACGGCCACAGGGGUACUGAGACACGGACCCCACUCCUACGGGAGGCAGCAGUUAGGAAUCUUCCACAAUGGGCGCAAGCCUGAUGGAGCGACACUGCGUGAGGGAAGAAGGCUUUCGGGUUGUAAACCUCUAAAAGUAGGACGAUAAUGACGGUACUACUUGAGAAGCACCGGCUAACUCCGUGCCAGCAGCCGCGGUAAUACGGAGGGUGCAAACGUUAUCCGGAAUCACUGGGCGUAAAGGGCACGCAGGCGGUUAGUUAAGUCUGAUGUUAAAGCGUGGGGCUCAACCCCCAUACGGGCGUUGGAUACUGGCUAACUAGACUCUUGGAGAGGUAAGUAGAAUUACCAGUGUAGCGGUGGAAUGCGUAGAUACUGGUAGGAAUACCAAUAGCGAAGGCAGCUUACUAGACAAUGAGUGACGCUGAGGUGCGAAAGUGUGGGGAGCGAACAGGAUUAGAUACCCUGGUAGUCCACACCGUAAACGAUGAAUGCCAGACGUCGGGCAGCAUGCUGUUCGGUGUCACACCUAACGGAUUAAGCAUUCCGCCUGGGGAGUACGGCCGCAAGGUUAAAACUUAAAGGAAUUGACGGGGGCCCGCACAAGCGGUGGAGUAUGUGGUUUAAUUCGAUGCAACGCGAAGAACCUUACCAGGGCUUGACAUGUCCGGAAUCCCGGUGAAAGCUGGGAGUGCCUUCGGGAGCCGGAACACAGGUGGUGCAUGGCUGUCGUCAGCUCGUGUCGUGAGAUGUUGGGUUAAGUCCCGCAACGAGCGCAACCCUCGUCUUUAGUUGCCAGCAUUAAGUUGGGCACUCUAGAGAGACUGCCGGUGACAAACCGGAGGAAGGUGGGGAUGACGUCAAGUCAGCAUGCCCCUUACGCUCUGGGCGACACACGUACUACAAUGGUCGGGACAGAGGGCAGCGAACCUGCGAAGGCAAGCUAAUCCCAGCAAACUCGGCCUCAGUUCAGAUCGCAGGCUGCAACUCGCCUGCGUGAAGGAGGAAUCGCUAGUAAUCGCCGGUCAGAAUACGGCGGUGAAUCCGUUCCCGGGCCUUGUACACACCGCCCGUCACACCAUGGAAGCUGGCCACGCCCGAAGUCGUUACCCUAACCUUUCGGGGAAGGGGA
RNAcentral lists this ribosomal RNA (1245 nucleotides) under uncultured organism. RNAcentral describes it as "bacterial SSU rRNA". It matches the Rfam family "Bacterial small subunit ribosomal RNA", at positions 184 to 1453 of the family's 1533-position model. The record is from RNAcentral.